GAUAGAUAGAUAGAUAGAUAAAUAGAUAGAUAGAUUUAGGAUUGACUAUCUAAAUUGCUCCAUGAGCCCAACUUAUUUUUACAGAGUUGAUUUAGUUAUAUUGUGACUCAGAACAUUGCCAAUCCAAUACUGCACAGAUUGACUUGAUGAAGACGAAAAACUGACCAAGAAGGCAACCCCAUUGAGAUGUAGGUAGGCAGACCAUGACAUCAAACUCAAAGCCCAACUCUGAGCAUGUUGAGAAUUGUACCUACCUCAGAAAUCACCUCCUGCUUCAGCAUUUCAGCAGCAUUCCCUGUGAACCUAUUAAACAGGAAAUGGCCAGCCAGGGACUCCAACAGGAAAGUGACAUUCAUCUUGGCAUGGCUUUAUGGAACUGGCCCCAUUUGGAAAACAGAUGACCACCAGACACUCAAGGAACUUUCCUAAUUGUGAGCAAAAGUAGGGCAGCCACAACCAGGAUGGGGCAGGAGAACUAUUUUAAGGACUCCCUGAAGCACAGCUUGAAAUGAUGAGGCCCAGCUUUGUCACAUUGGCCUGAUGGGGAUGUGCUUUUAGAGACCUUAGGCUAACUCGGAAAACUCAGACAGAGCAAGCAAAAGGCUCCAGUUCUGCAAAUAGCAGCUGCAACCACACUUCCAAGAACAGAAUGGGUCCUUUCAGCCAUACUCAUUCAAACUAUCAGGCUGUGUCUUACUGUCAUCUUGGAACUCGAAAUGUGUACUGGAAAUGCACUGACCUGGAUAAGAGAAAUUCAUUCGGAAUAAUUUGCCUCAGUAACAUAUGAAACAGUUCCAACUGGGCUAGAAAAGGAUUGGCCAGGUGUCUACAAGGGAGUUUGCCUGAAGGACCAGACUGACAGGCCAGCUUCAUACUCUCCUGGGACAGAAAGGGCACGCAGAGAUUUGGAACUGUAGGCAUGAGGAGAAGCGGCUUUGCACUGGGGGUUCUGGAAGAGUGAGCCACUUGAAAGACAGAAAGGGACUUUUUUAUAGUAAACAAAUGACCAUUUCUGUGUAGCCAGGCUUGACUUCAAACUGUUGGCACCUUUAAUCCUUAGCCUGAAAUCUCUGACUUCCCAGAGAGACUAGAAGUAAAGGGUAAUUGCUCCCCAGAAAGGAGAAAGUAUUUCCCUAAUUGGUCAGGCAUAGGGGUGGGUGGAAAGUGCCCAGAUCCCUCGCACCACAAGAGAUGACUCCAACAUGAGAGUCCUACUCCAAUUCCUAGACCUCCAUGGUAGAUCGCACUCCAAUUGUCUGAAGUGGUAUCUGGCAUGAUCAUGUGCUCUUACUUGCCUCUCUUCGCUACACCGUACUUGGGUGCCUGAUACCAACUAAACUAUUUGUACUUAAAUUUUGUCUCAAGGUUGGCUCCUGGAGGAAUCCAAACUAAGGCACCUCAACCCAGCGAAAUAUAGCAGCUGGAGAAGAAGACUCUUUAUGUCAAAGGAAAAGAAAUGGCAAUCCCCCAAGUUUCCUUCUUUUUCUCCCAUCAAGCCAUUAAUGUGUAUAGAUGGAAGCAAAUUGAUAGCAUAAUAAUUGUUUUCACUUGUCCAGCUUAAUUAAGGUAUGAUUGAUAAAUAAAUUUGUAUAUAUUUAAAAUAUAUUAUGUGAUAGUUUGAUAUAGAUAUAUAUUGUGAAAUGAUCACC
Molecule: long non-coding RNA, 1649 nt
Organism: Heterocephalus glaber (naked mole-rat)
Lineage: Eukaryota; Metazoa; Chordata; Mammalia; Rodentia; Bathyergidae
Source: Ensembl